CCAAUAGCGUAUAUUAAAGUUGUUGCAGUUAAAAAGCUCGUAGUUGAAUUUCGGGAUCAAUACGUCGGUCGUGCUUUUUUGGUACGUACUGGCGUCAUUGGUUUCUCUCUUCUGACGAACCAUGAUGUCAUUAAUUUGGUGUUAUGGGGAGUUAGGACUGUUACUUUGAAAAAAUUAGAGUGUUUAAAGCAGGCAUUAGCUUGAAUACAUUAGCAUGGAAUAAUGAAAUAGGACGUUUGAUCCUAUUUUGUUGGUUUUUAGGAUCGACGUAAUGAUUAAUAGGGAUAGUUGGGGGCAUUAGUAUUCAAUUGUCAGAGGUGAAAUUCUUGGAUUUAUUGAAGACUAACUACUGCGAAAGCAUUUGCCAAGGAUGUUUUCAUUAAUCAAGAACGAAAGUUAGGGGAUCGAAGACGAUCAGAUACCGUCGUAGUCUUAACCAUAAACUAUGCCGACUAGGGAUCGGAUGAUGUUAUUUAUAAUGACUCAUUCGGCGCCUUACG
RNAcentral lists this unclassified non-coding RNA (500 nucleotides) under uncultured Glomus. Its description in RNAcentral is "SSU rRNA". It matches the Rfam family "Eukaryotic small subunit ribosomal RNA", at positions 591 to 1092 of the family's 1831-position model. The record is from RNAcentral. Lineage: Eukaryota; Fungi; Glomeromycota; Glomeromycetes; Glomerales; Glomeraceae.